Molecule: ribosomal RNA, 253 nt
Filed under: uncultured bacterium
Lineage: Bacteria
Description: partial 16S ribosomal RNA
Rfam family: Bacterial small subunit ribosomal RNA
Source: RNAcentral
UACGGGGGGGGCAAGCGUUGUUCGGAAUUACUGGGCGUAAAGGGCUCGUAGGCGGCCAACUAAGUCAGACGUGAAAUCCCUCGGCUUAACCGGGGAACUGCGUCUGAUACUGGAUGGCUUGAGUUCGGGAGAGGGAUGCGGAAUUCCAGGUGUAGCGGUGAAAUGCGUAGAGAUCUGGAAGAACACCAAAGGCGAAGGCAGCGUCCUGGCAAGUCACUGACGCUCAGGUGCGAAAGCUAGGGGAGCGAACGGG